GAUGAAGAACGUAGCGAAAUGCGAUAAGUAAUGUGAAUUGCAGAAUUCAGUGAAUCAUCGAAUCUUUGAACGCACAUUGCGCCCCUUGGUGUUCCGAGGGGCAUGCCUGUUCGAGCGUCAUUAUAACCCCUCAAGCUCAGCUUGGUGUUGGGGCCUGCUGCACUGGCAGCCCUUAAAAUCAGUGGCGGCGCCAUCUGGCUCUAAGCGUAGUAAUUCUUCUCGCUAUGGAGUCCUGGUGGAUGCUUGCCAUCAACCCCCAAUUUUUCUAUGGUUGACCUCGGAUCAGGUAGGGAUACCCGCUGAACUUAAGCAUAUCAAUAAGCGGAGGA
This 329-nucleotide unclassified non-coding RNA is filed under the name soil metagenome. RNAcentral describes it as "partial contains 5.8S ribosomal RNA, internal transcribed spacer 2, and large subunit ribosomal RNA". The stretch from base 1 to 120 matches the Rfam family "5.8S ribosomal RNA", at positions 35 to 154 of the family's 154-position model. The record is from RNAcentral.